This is a non-coding RNA of Meleagris gallopavo (turkey), 623 nucleotides long. The record is from RefSeq and is a predicted model, not a curated record. NCBI's taxonomy places the organism in Eukaryota, Metazoa, Chordata, Aves, Galliformes, Phasianidae.
GCAUGCCCGAGGCUGCUCCAGAGCUGUGCGUGUGCCCCCAGGGAUGUUGUGGGGUGGGCUGGAUUUUGUCUGCGUGUCCUCCUCCUGAGAGUGCCAAGGGAGACGAGAGCUGGCAGCACAGUGUCUUUUCCAUCCUCAGUGCUGAUGUGAUUUUCUCAAAUGGACCUUUUUCCCACAGCUCUAUGAUGACACCAAGCAGCACAGCGAGGCUGAUAGUGCAGAGCUGACCCACUGCAUCAUGCUGCAGGCCCAAAUCUGCCCAGAGGAAACAGUCCUGUUUCUGGAGUCGCAGCUGGGUAAUGAGUGGGAAGCUGGAUGCGUGGCAGCACUGGGUCUGCUCAGUGCUCUGGCUCACUCUGAUGAACCCGCGCUGACAGAGCAGCUGCCCCAGAUUGUAGAGGCUGUGCAGCAUUUGUGCAGCAACCCCAGGCCCCAGGUGAGCUGGUUUGGGAAAGGAAAGUGAUGUCAGGGUAGUGAUGCUGCUGCCAACACGGGUAGGGCUGGGUGUCCAGAGAAGUGCUUGGGCAUUGACCACAUGGUCGUGAUGGUUCCUGUGAGGAGAGCAGGCAAAGUGGAGUGGGCAGGUCCCUGUGCUGUGUACGGAAAGCACACGGCCUGGUGCA